Long non-coding RNA from Pomacea canaliculata, 466 nucleotides. RefSeq lists it as uncharacterized. The transcript is spliced from 2 exons. The record is from RefSeq and is a predicted model, not a curated record. NCBI's taxonomy places the organism in Eukaryota, Metazoa, Mollusca, Gastropoda, Architaenioglossa, Ampullariidae.
CUGGGAGUAUCUGACAUCAGACUUCCACAGCGACCUGCAGGUUAUCUACUAACAUCAUUGUCGUCUUCGAAGAAAGAUGAAGGCCAGUGUCUACGUCCUUCUGGCGCUCCUGAGCGUCGUCAUGGUGACAGCAAGUCUUGUCGAGGUUCCUGGAGGGCUGUCAGUGCUGGAACAGUUGGGCAGCGAGCAGCAGCCAUCACAGGAAGCAGCAGCUGAGGGGUCAGACCCCGCAAAACGUAACAUCCUAUACUGGUUAGAUGCAUUUUAAAGUAAAUUUAAUAGCAAGUAAAGCGAACAGCUGCCAUCACAGGAAGCAGCAGCUGAGGGCCAGGCACUGAAAAUCAUCUUAUCAUCUUUCCCUUUGCCUGGUAGACAAAGCUCCUUCGUCUGAGUCGACGACUGGACAUAGUCCGAUGGUGACGUCACCCAGAAACCGAUAAUAAAUAAAAUUUCCUGAAUAAGUCUA